AUGGCUGUCGUCAGCUCGUGCCGUGAGGUGUUGCCUUAAGUGGCGCAACGAGCGCAACCCCUGUCCUUAGUUGCCAGCGGGUAAUGCCGGGAACUCUAGGGAGACUGCCGGUGCCAAACCGGAGGAAGGUGGGGAUGACGUCAAGUCAUCAUGCCCCUUAUAUCCAGGGCUGCACGCAUGCUACAAUGCGCGAUACAGAGGGCUGCGAUCCCGUAAGGGGGAGCGAAUCCCAAAAAGUCGCGCUCAGUUCGGAUCGAGGUCUGCAACCCGACCUCGUGAAGUCGGAGUCGCUAGUAAUCGCAGAUCAGCAAUGCUGCGGUGAAUACGUUCCCGGGCCUUGUACACACCGCCCGUCACACCACGAAAGUGGGCAACACCCGAAGCCGGUGGCCUAACCCUUGUGGAGGGAGCCGUCGAAGGUGGGGCUCGCGAUUGGGGUGAAGUCGUAACAAGGUAGCCGUACCGGAAGGUGCGGCUGGAUCACCUCCUUUCUAAGGAGCCUUUGGCAUUUGUCUUGAUCGGUCAUCCGUACCGAUCAGACGAGACUCCAAGGUCGAUGCACUGGCAAUCUCUCAUUGAAACUUAACUGGGGGAGCACACUGUUCAGCUUUGAGGGUGCGAGCCCUCUGAGCACCUUGAGAACUCGAUAGCGAGCGCGAGCAUCUACAGUCAAGUUAUAAAGGGCUUACGGUGGAUGCCUUGGCGUCAGGAGCCGAUGAAGGACGCGUCUGGCUGCGAAAAGCUUCGGGGAGCUGCCUAGAGAGCUUUGAUCCGAAGGUGUCCGAAUGGGGAAACCCGG
This 799-nucleotide small RNA is filed under the name uncultured Actinomycetales bacterium. RNAcentral's name for it is "bacterial SSU rRNA". The stretch from base 1 to 491 matches the Rfam family "Bacterial small subunit ribosomal RNA", at positions 1045 to 1533 of the family's 1533-position model. The record is from RNAcentral. Lineage: Bacteria; Bacillati; Actinomycetota; Actinomycetes; Actinomycetales.